AAAUGGUUAGGAAUGGCUUAUUCUUUGGGAAGGACCUAGGACAAAGGGCCCGUUGGCAGGUGAGGCUUCCUGUGAGUCCACUGUGCAUCUCUGUGAACCCCACCAAACACUCACUUCAGCAUGAGGCAUGGCCUGUGGCUGUUUCUCCUCGGAGCUGACCAAUCAGCAGACGGGUCCAAGGGCCUUUUGUUCGCCUAUGUGUCUGUCUGAAGGCCUCCUCCAUGGCUUUCCUUGAGCCUUGACAAAAGGCAGCUUUGGCAGCAGCUUUUCAUUACUGCUCUUUGUCGUUCUGAAGACUCCGCUGCCCUCCAGCCCUGUCCCGGAAACCCAUCUCCGGCUUCCCCUGGUAUAACAGCCUGCUCCGCCCUCCAUCUUGUUUUUCCUAAGCACGCCCACCCUGCUUAGUACAAAAGGUUUCCAUGACUCUUUCCUUUUAAACGGUGUGGUGCUUUGAUGGGUAUAUGCGGUGUGUGAAUGAAGGUGUGUGAAGGUCCAAUCAGGGUAAUUAGCAACCAUCAUUUCAGACGUCCUUUCCGUGUGGGGAGAAGAUUCUAAAACUGGCCUUCUAGCUGUUUUUCAGUCCACAUUAGAUUGUCAUCAACUGUAGCCUGCCUCGUUCUACCUGUACCGCUCUCAGCCCUCCUUCCCCAUUUUCCCAGAUUCUGGCAACCACUGUUCUGCCUCCUACUUAGAGAGAGCCUCCUCUUCUUUUGCAUCCACAAAUGGCUGGGAACGCACGGUAUUUCUCUUCCCGUGUUCGGCUUAUUUCACUUAACGCGCUUCCCGUGGUUACGUAUCCACAGGAAAAAUAAUGAGCAGUCAAUCACCUGCACUGCCGAGGUGUCCAUCAAAGGUGACGGACAAAACAAUGUGGCACAUACCCAGUGGCACUCUGUUCGACAGACGUUUGUGGCAAUGCGGCUGAGUGGGGACACAUGAAUCGAAAUAAGCCUUCCUCCUCUUCGAAGUCCUGUAGCCCAGAAAAAGUGACUUCCGUGAGCUAGCCUCAGACUCGCCGGCCAUGAGGAAAUGAACCUGUUGAUGUUUUAUUAAUGUUGUAAGGUGGAGAAAGGUCCCUCAUUUCCCUCUGGUUAAAAAACGAUGAUUCCAGUCGAGGACCACUAACACGUAACCAAGCCAUUCUUUACCUGUCUGCUGCUGGAGCCUCUCUUCCCACGGGGUGAAGCUGGCAUAUAACACAGCCUGGCAUUCCAAUCUUGUGAUGGGUCUAGACGAGGGGCCACGCUUGCAUUUGGGCCAUAGGAGUCUGACGAAGCUGGGUUUUUCUGGACAAUGGCGGUAAUUUUUAAAAGGUAUAUUAUGACACAAAUGC
Molecule: long non-coding RNA, 1333 nt
Filed under: Mus musculus (house mouse)
Lineage: Eukaryota; Metazoa; Chordata; Mammalia; Rodentia; Muridae
Description: long non-coding RNA chr16:90440654-90441987
Source: RNAcentral